UGAUGGGGAAAUGUGAUCACGGAAAACGACAAUAUUUUCCGACGGAAACAAGCAAUCCAAGCAUGGCCUCUCAAAGAAGUCAAGGCAAAUCUUAGACAGUAGACAAAGCUGCAGAUAUAUUGUUGGGGCAAUAUUCACCACUUAUGAAUCGACAGCCAAGAAAUUAUCAUCAAGAAGGACUGAUCAAUUGUCGGCAGAUAUGAAAGGGAGAAAGGAAGCUGAUUAUGCUAGCUUGUGUAUUAGAAGACAUGCAUCAUAUCAAGGUCCUAAAAAUUAGGGACGUGUGAGUUAUGAAUUUUUAGAAGUAAGGAAGUGGGUAAUUCCUACUCCCCCCAUUUCAACUGAUAUGGCUAAAGUGGCAAGUGGUUUUCUUGGAGGUGGACCAUUAAAUCAGCAAUGAACUUAUGAAAUAAAGGAGUGGACCAUCAAAUUAGCCAUAAAGCCACAAGUUGGAGACCAAGCAGUUUUUGCUAGCAAACAACUAUCCUAACUUGGAGGGAAAUUUUUAUCUAUAAAUAGGAGAAAGAUGCUAGAAGAAAAAAUGGAAGAGUCUUCACAGAAAAGGCUCCCACUUAGAAUAGCUCUCUUCUUACUUUCAUAGAUAACUUUAGGAUAGUUUUAGGAUUUCUUUGUAUAGCAACUAUUCCCCUUUCAUUUCUAUUUUGCUUUGAAUCAUUCAACUUCGUGUUCCUAGUUAAUUGCAUGUUAGGUUCUUUAAAUUGUUUAGUUGUUAUGAACUUAUUUCCCAUC
Non-coding RNA from Coffea arabica (coffee), 750 nucleotides. Lineage: Eukaryota; Viridiplantae; Streptophyta; Magnoliopsida; Gentianales; Rubiaceae. The record is from RefSeq and is a predicted model, not a curated record.